AGUGAACGCUGGCGGUAGGCCUAACACAUGCAAGUCGAACGGCAGCACAGUAAGAGCUUGCUCUUACGGGUGGCGAGUGGCGGACGGGUGAGGAAUACAUCGGAAUCUACUUUUUCGUGGGGGAUAACGUAGGGAAACUUACGCUAAUACCGCAUACGACCUACGGGUGAAAGCAGGGGAUCUUCGGACCUUGCGCGAUUGAAUGAGCCGAUGUCGGAUUAGCUAGUUGGCGGGGUAAAGGCCCACCAAGGCGGCGAUCCGUAGCUGGUCUGAGAGGAGGAUCAGCCACACUGGAACUGAGACACGGUCCAGACUCCUACGGGAGGCAGCAGUGGGGAAUAUUGGACAAUGGGCGCAAGCCUGAUCCAGCCAUACCGCGUGGGUGAAGAAGGCCUUCGGGUUGUAAAGCCCUUUUGUCGGGAAAGAAAAGCAGCAGGUUAAUACCCCGCUGUUCUGACGGUACCCAAAGAAUAAGCACCGGCUAACUUCGUG
Molecule: ribosomal RNA, 492 nt
Filed under: uncultured bacterium
Lineage: Bacteria
Description: partial 16S ribosomal RNA
Rfam family: Bacterial small subunit ribosomal RNA
Source: RNAcentral